UACGUAGGGUCCGAGCGUUACUCGGAAUUACUGGGCGUAAAGCGUGCGUAGGUGGUGAGUUAAGUCUGUCGUGAAAGCCCCGGGCUCAACCUGGGAAUGGCGAUGGAUACUGGCUCGCUAGAGUGCGGUAGAGGAGAGUGGAAUUCCCGGUGUAGCAGUGAAAUGCGUAGAGAUCGGGAGGAACAUCAGUUGCGAAGGCGGCUCUCUGGACCAGCACUGACACUGAGGCACGAAAGCGUGGGGAGCAAACAGG
This 253-nucleotide ribosomal RNA is filed under the name uncultured bacterium. RNAcentral's name for it is "partial 16S ribosomal RNA". It matches the Rfam family "Bacterial small subunit ribosomal RNA", at positions 524 to 776 of the family's 1533-position model. The record is from RNAcentral.